GGAUUGUGGCUCAGCGGUAGAGCACUCACCUAGUACAGGAGCGACUGGGUUCGAUUCUCAGCACCA
RNAcentral lists this transfer RNA (66 nucleotides) under Marmota monax (woodchuck). RNAcentral's name for it is "tRNA.Thr". Lineage: Eukaryota; Metazoa; Chordata; Mammalia; Rodentia; Sciuridae. The record is from RNAcentral.